Molecule: long non-coding RNA, 223 nt
Organism: Ipomoea nil (Japanese morning glory)
Lineage: Eukaryota; Viridiplantae; Streptophyta; Magnoliopsida; Solanales; Convolvulaceae
Exons: 2
Source: RefSeq, a predicted model, not a curated record
AAGAACAGAGAAUCUAUUAUGAGAAGAACAAUUGAUAAUGAUUUAUUCCAUUCUUCUCUGAGAAUUAUUAUUACAUUCAUAGUAAUAUAAACUGAAAUUUUCAAGCCCGUAACCACAUACAUAUGUAACCAAUCCCAGUGGCACAACCUUUUUCAUGUCAAAGGAUAUGUGCCUUAUUCAACAAUAAGUUAAGUACCAUAAAUUAAAAACACACCAUAUGAUC